This 200-nucleotide unclassified non-coding RNA is filed under the name soil metagenome. RNAcentral describes it as "partial contains internal transcribed spacer 2 and large subunit ribosomal RNA". The record is from RNAcentral.
GACAAACGGCUCGUCUGAAAUGCCUGAGUGUACCCUGCUUUGCGGCGUAUUCGGUGUGAUACAUCUUCACCGGAGUCUCGACUCUUUUGGGUCGGCGCCUGCACGAGUCUGGCUCUAUGCUUUCCAACCGUCCCUUACAAGGACAAAAUAUACUCUGACAAUUUGACCUCAAAUCGGGUGGGACUACCCGCUGAACUUAA